GAUGAAGAACGUAGCGAAAUGCGAUAAGUAAUGUGAAUUGCAGAAUUCAGUGAACCAUCGAAUCUUUGAACGCACAUUGCGCCCGGCAGUAAUCUGCCGGGCAUGCCUGUCCGAGCGUCAUUUCUACCCUCGAGCGAGUUCAGCAUCUAGGUGCUGGGCCUCGCCCGGCGUUGGAGCACUACGGGAAGCCCUGUGCUGUCCCCCGUAGGCCCCGAAAUGAAGUGGCGGUCCUGCCGCGGCGCCCCCUGCGUAGUAUAACAGCUCGCUUCGGGACCCGGUGGAGGCCUGCCGUCAAACCUAUACUCUCUAAGUUUGACCUCGGAUCAGGUAGGGUUACCCGCUGAACUUAAGCAUAUCAAUAAGCGGAGGA
This 370-nucleotide unclassified non-coding RNA is filed under the name soil metagenome. RNAcentral's name for it is "partial contains 5.8S ribosomal RNA, internal transcribed spacer 2, and large subunit ribosomal RNA". The stretch from base 1 to 120 matches the Rfam family "5.8S ribosomal RNA", at positions 35 to 154 of the family's 154-position model. The record is from RNAcentral.